Molecule: ribosomal RNA, 719 nt
Filed under: Craterellus lutescens
Lineage: Eukaryota; Fungi; Basidiomycota; Agaricomycetes; Cantharellales; Hydnaceae
Description: Cantharellus lutescens partial large subunit ribosomal RNA
Rfam family: Eukaryotic large subunit ribosomal RNA
Source: RNAcentral
GGCGAGUGAAGCGGCAAGAGCUCAAAUUUGAAUCUGGCUCUUCUGCGUUGGCGUAGUUGUUUUUUGAGGAAUCUGCGGGUACGGUGCCGGCCUAAGUUCCUUGGAACAUGACGUCUCCUUUGGUGAGAAUCCCGAGCUUGGCUGGCUGCCCCCUUCCAUGUGAAGCGUCUUCGACGAUUCGAGUUGUUUGGUAAUGCACCUCAAAAUGGGUGGUAAAUUUCAUCUAAAGAUGAAUAUUCCUGGGAGACCGAUAGCGCACAAAUAGAGUGAUCGAAAAAUGAAAAGCACUUUGAAAAAAGAGUUAAACUCUGAGUGAAAUUGUUGAAAGGGAAGCGCUUGACACCAAACUUCGCGUUUGGGUGAUCAUCCGUCCUUCUGGUCGGUGCACUUGCCCCCCUCCGACUGAGAAUCGGUUGAGGAGGAUGGAUAAAGGUCCCGGGAAUGUGGCUCCUUCGCGGGAUUGUUAUGUCCCGGGUGAAUGCCGCCAGCUUCGAUUGAUGUACCGUACCCGGUGUCUUAUGUAUGCUUGUUGUCAUGGCCUUCCUUGACUCAUCGCUUGACUGGAUAAUGGCUCUAACCUCUAUGUCUUGGUUUGGGUGUCAAACACUCGAACAUGUUGGCAAUGAACAGAGGGAGUGACCCUCUGGGUGCCUCCUGCAACCGGUUCUUGACUCUUCUGACUGAUCUGAGGAAGACCUCAGUUGUCUGAAUCUGAUAGA